Molecule: transfer RNA, 75 nt
Rfam family: tRNA
About the family: Transfer RNA (tRNA) molecules are approximately 80 nucleotides in length. Their secondary structure includes four short double-helical elements and three loops (D, anti-codon, and T loops).
GCCGGGGUAGUUUAGUGGUAAAACAACUCCAUGGUAAGGAGUAGACUGCGGGUCCGAUUCCCGCCCUCGGCUCAA